This is a non-coding RNA of Pseudoalteromonas piscicida, 183 nucleotides long. Lineage: Bacteria; Pseudomonadati; Pseudomonadota; Gammaproteobacteria; Alteromonadales; Pseudoalteromonadaceae. The record is from Rfam.
UGUUCCCUAGCUCGUAGGACAGCUGAUUAAGUCCCUGAGCCGAUAAAUUUCGUUUAGGAUAGCAGUUUGUUUACUAUUGAGCAUGCUCGGCAUGUACCGAGAAGCCUACGGUAGGCUGUUGCUCUCCGCCUUGAACCUCAGGGUUCAAGGGCUGACAUCGGCAUCCGCGAAGCCGGGGAACAA